ACUCAAAUGAAUUGACGGGGGCCCGCACAAGCAGUGGAGUAUGUGGUUUAAUUCGAAGCAACGCGAAGAACCUUACCAGGACUUGACAUCCCUUGACGACGGUAGAGAUAUCGUUUCCCUUCGGGGCAAGGAGACAGGUGGUGCAUGGUUGUCGUCAGCUCGUGUCGUGAGAUGUUGGGUUAAGUCCCGCAACGAGCGCAACCCCUGUUGUUAGUUGCCAUCAUUAAGUUGGGCACUCUAGCGAGACUGCCGGUGACAAAUCGGAGGAAGGUGGGGACGACGUCAAAUCAUCAUGCCCCUUAUGUCCUGGGCUACACACGUACUACAAUGGCUAUUACAGCAGGAUGCAAUAGAGCAAUCUGGAGCCAAUCCUCAAAAAUAGUCUCAGUUCAGAUUGUGGGCUGCAACUCGCCCACAUGAAGUCGGAAUUGCUAGUAAUUGCAGGUCAGCAUACUGCAGUGAAUACGUUCCCGGGCCUUGUACACACCGCCCGU
RNAcentral lists this ribosomal RNA (494 nucleotides) under uncultured bacterium. RNAcentral's name for it is "partial 16S ribosomal RNA". It matches the Rfam family "Bacterial small subunit ribosomal RNA", at positions 899 to 1397 of the family's 1533-position model. The record is from RNAcentral.